RNAcentral lists this ribosomal RNA (458 nucleotides) under uncultured Aminicenantes bacterium. RNAcentral describes it as "bacterial SSU rRNA". It matches the Rfam family "Bacterial small subunit ribosomal RNA", at positions 930 to 1382 of the family's 1533-position model. The record is from RNAcentral. Lineage: Bacteria; Candidatus Aminicenantota.
CGGUGGAGUAUGUGGUUUAAUUCGAUGCAACGCGAAGAACCUUACCUGGUCUUGACAUCCCAGAAAUCCCUUGGAAACUUGGGAGUGCUUCCAUUAGGAAGAAUCUGGAGACAGGUGCUGCAUGGCUGUCGUCAGCUCGCGUCGUGAGAUGUUGGGUUAAGUCCCGCAACGAGCGCAACCCUUGCCAUUAGUUGUCAGCGAGUCAUGUCGGAUACUCUAAUGGGACUGCCGGUGACGAGCCGGAGGAAGGUGGGAUGACGUCAAGUCAGCAUGGCCUUUAUGUCCAGGGCCACACACGUGCUACAAUGGACGGUACAGAGGGACGCAAGACCGCAAGGUGGAGCAAAUCCUCAAAACCGUUCUCAGUUCGGAUUGCAGGCUGCAAUUCGCCUGCAUGAAGCUGGAAUUGCUAGUAAUCGCGGAUCAGCCAUGCCGCGGUGAAUACGUUCCCGGGCCUU